Bos taurus (domestic cattle) is the source of this 387-nucleotide long non-coding RNA. The record is from Ensembl. Lineage: Eukaryota; Metazoa; Chordata; Mammalia; Artiodactyla; Bovidae.
AUGUAAUUUAUAGGUAACUCCUGGAAGAAGCUGAUUACUUCAGAAAAUGUACCUCUCUUUAUGACCAGCAUGCUUUCUGAAUUUAUUAAACCAAUAUGAACAUGGGAGACUCCAAAACUAAGAGCAUUAGAGAACUCCACUUGACCUGCCAUGUCUUUACUUCUCUGGAUGUGUUUUUGUACAGCACUGAUGCUCAUAGCAUCUCUCCUUACAGCAACUGCUUUGAACUGUGAGGACAGGAGCCUGAAGCCAAUGUUAGUCACCAAGCUACAAAUGGGUGAAGGCUGACUGAUAAGAGAACCAGUCAGGCAGAAGUGGAGGGGCGAUCAGCCCAUGGACCACAUCCAGCCCAUCCUCCAUUUUUGUAAAUAAAGUUUUAUUGCAAUA